RNAcentral lists this ribosomal RNA (464 nucleotides) under uncultured bacterium. Its description in RNAcentral is "bacterial SSU rRNA". It matches the Rfam family "Bacterial small subunit ribosomal RNA", at positions 339 to 794 of the family's 1533-position model. The record is from RNAcentral.
UUACGGGAGGCAGCAGUGGGGAAUUGUUCGCAAUGGGCGCAAGCCUGACGACGCAAUGCCGCGUGGAGGAUGAAGAUCUUCGGAUCGUAAACUCCUGUCGAGCGGGACGAACGGUCCGGGUCCUAACAGGGCCCGGAAGUGACGGUACCGCUAAAGGAAGCCCCGGCUAACUCCGUGCCAGCAGCCGCGGUAAUACGGGGGGGGCGAGCGUUGUUCGGAAUUACUGGGCGUAAAGGGCGUGUAGGCGGCCCACUAAGUCAGACGUGAAAUCCCUCGGCUCAACCGGGGAACUGCGUCUGAUACUGGAGGGCUUGAAUUCGGGAGAGGGAUGCGGAAUUCCAGGUGUAGCGGUGAAAUGCGUAGAUAUCUGGAGGAACACCGGUGGCGAAGGCGGCAUCCUGGACCGAUAUUGACGCUUAAGCGCGAAAGCCAGGGGAGCAAACGGGAUUAGAUACCCCGGUAGU